CAUGUCUUUUUGUAAAUGAUUUAAAGUUUAACCUGCUCAAUGAAAUUUAAAUAGCCGCAGUAUUUCGACUGUGCAAAGGUAGCAUAAUAAUUAGUUUCUUGAUUAGGAACUGGAAUGAAUGGUUUGACAAGAAAACUUCUGUCUUUUUUUUAAUUAUUUUUGAAUUUUAUUUUUAAGUGAAAAAGCUUAAAUUUAUAUAAAAGACGAGAAGACCCUAUAGAAUUUAAUAUUUUUAUUAUUUAAUAUUAGUAUAUAAUUAUAAUAUAAAUUAUUUGAUUGGGGUGAUUGGGAGAAAUAUUUAAUUCUCUUAUGUUAUAAUUAAUAAUUUUUAAUUUUUUAAUCUUUUUUUAAAAAGAAUAAAAUAAAUUACCUUAGGGAUAACAGCGUAAUUUUUCUUCAAAGUUCUUAUUUAAAGAAAAGUUUGCGACCUCGAUGUUGGAUUAAAAUUAAUUUUUGGUGCAGUUACUUAAAAAUUAGGUCUGUUCGACCUUUAAAAUUUUACAUGAUCUGAGUUUAAACCGGUGUGAGCCAGGUUGGAUUCUAUCUUUAGAAAAGUUUUUAUAUUUUAGUACGAAAGGACCAAAUAUAAGUUAAAUUAAUUGU
This 603-nucleotide ribosomal RNA is filed under the name Cautires sp. UPOL AJ0037. RNAcentral describes it as "partial 16S ribosomal RNA". The stretch from base 377 to 535 matches the Rfam family "Bacterial large subunit ribosomal RNA", at positions 2473 to 2632 of the family's 2925-position model. The record is from RNAcentral. Lineage: Eukaryota; Metazoa; Arthropoda; Insecta; Coleoptera; Lycidae.